This 78-nucleotide microRNA precursor is filed under the name Cricetulus griseus (Chinese hamster). RNAcentral's name for it is "miRNA (ENSCGRG00001004780.1)". The record is from RNAcentral. Lineage: Eukaryota; Metazoa; Chordata; Mammalia; Rodentia; Cricetidae.
CCUGGAACUUACUCUGUAGACCAGGCUGGCCUUAAAUUCAUAGAGAUCUAUCUGUCUCUGCCUCCUGAGUGCUGGGAU